This 304-nucleotide ribosomal RNA is filed under the name uncultured bacterium. Its description in RNAcentral is "partial 16S ribosomal RNA". It matches the Rfam family "Bacterial small subunit ribosomal RNA", at positions 506 to 807 of the family's 1533-position model. The record is from RNAcentral.
CAGCAGCCGCCGCGGUAAUACAGAGGGUGCGAGCGUUAAUCGGAUUUACUGGGCGUAAAGCGUGCGUAGGCGGCUAAUUGAGUCGGAUGUGAAAUCCCCGAGCUUAACUUGGGAAUUGCAUUCGAUACUGGUUAGCUAGAGUGUGGGAGAGGAUGGUAGAAUUCCAGGUGUAGCGGUGAAAUGCGUAGAGAUCUGGAGGAAUACCGAUGGCGAAGGCAGCCAUCUGGCCUAACACUGACGCUGAGGUACGAAAGCAUGGGGAGCAAACAGGAUUAGAUACCCCAGUAGUCCCUGUCUCUUAUAC